This 680-nucleotide ribosomal RNA is filed under the name uncultured organism. RNAcentral describes it as "bacterial SSU rRNA". It matches the Rfam family "Bacterial small subunit ribosomal RNA", at positions 64 to 718 of the family's 1533-position model. The record is from RNAcentral.
GAACGAGAAAUCUUUAGCUUGCUAGAGAAAGUAAGUGGCGCACGGGUGAGUAACGCGUGGGUAUCUGCCUCCGAAUCGGGGAGAACAUUGCGAAAGCGAUGCUAAUACCGGAUAAAAUCUGGUUGGCUUCGGUGAACCGGAUCAAAGGUGGUCUCUUUAUAAAAGCUACCGUUUGGAGAUGAGCUCGCGUACCAUUAGCUAGUUGGUGAGGUAAAGGCUCACCAAGGCGACGAUGGUUAGCUGGUCUGAGAGGAUGAUCAGCCACACCGGAACUGGAACACGGUCCGGACUCCUACGGGAGGCAGCAGUGAGGAAUUUUGCGCAAUGGGGGAAACCCUGACGCAGCAACGCCGCGUGAGUGAUGAAGGCUUUCGGGUCGUAAAGCUCUGUCAGGUGGGAAGAACCCACCAAGUGUUAAGACCACUUGGUGCUGACGGUACCACCGAAGGAAGCACCGGCUAACUCCGUGCCAGCAGCCGCGGUAAUACGGGGGGUGCGAGCGUUAUUCGGAAUUACUGGGCGUAAAGCGCGCGUAGGCGGACUGUUAAGUCAGGGGUGAAAUCCCGGGGCUCAACCCCGGAACUGCCCUUGAUACUGGCAGUCUCGAGUUCGAGAGAGGUGAGUGGAACUCCGAGUGUAAAGGUGAAAUUCGUAGAUAUUCGGAAGAACACCAGUGGCGA